RNAcentral lists this ribosomal RNA (483 nucleotides) under uncultured bacterium. Its description in RNAcentral is "partial 16S ribosomal RNA". It matches the Rfam family "Bacterial small subunit ribosomal RNA", at positions 29 to 507 of the family's 1533-position model. The record is from RNAcentral.
UUGCACGCUGGCGGCAUGCUUUACCCAUGCAAGUCGCACGGCAGCGCGGGCUUCGGCCUGGCGGCGAGUGGCGAACGGGUGAGUAAUACAUCGGAACGUGCCCAGUAGUGGGGGAUAGCUCGGCGAAAGCCGGAUUAAUACCGCAUACGACCUGAGGGUGAAAGCGGGGGAUCUUCGGACCUCGCGCUAUUGGAGCGGCCAAUGGCAGAUUAGCUAGUUGGUGGGGUAAAGGCCUACCAAGGCGACGAUCUGUAGCUGGUCUGAGAGGACGACCAGCCACACUGGGACUGAGACACGGCCCAGACUCCUACGGGAGGCAGCAGUGGGGAAUUCUGGACAAUGGGCGAAAGCCUGAUCCAGCAAUGCCGCGUGUGUGAUGAAGGCCUUCGGGUUGUAAAGCACUUUUGGCGGGAACGAAAAGGACUGUGCCAAUACCACGGUUCGAUGACGGUACCCGCAGAAUAAGCACCGGCUAACUACGUG